RNAcentral lists this transfer RNA (74 nucleotides) under Actinomycetota bacterium. RNAcentral's name for it is "tRNA-Val". It matches the Rfam family "tRNA". Rfam says of the family: Transfer RNA (tRNA) molecules are approximately 80 nucleotides in length. Their secondary structure includes four short double-helical elements and three loops (D, anti-codon, and T loops). The record is from RNAcentral. Lineage: Bacteria; Bacillati; Actinomycetota.
GGGCGUUUAGCUCAGUGGGUUAGAGCGCUUCCCUUACAAGGAAGAUGUCGGGGGUUCGAGUCCCUCAACGCCCA